GGAGGUAUGGCUCAAGUAGUAGAGUGCCUGCCUGGUAUGCACAGGUCUUGAGUUCAAAUCCCAGUACUGCCA
Molecule: transfer RNA, 72 nt
Filed under: Dipodomys ordii (Ord's kangaroo rat)
Lineage: Eukaryota; Metazoa; Chordata; Mammalia; Rodentia; Heteromyidae
Rfam family: tRNA
About the family: Transfer RNA (tRNA) molecules are approximately 80 nucleotides in length. Their secondary structure includes four short double-helical elements and three loops (D, anti-codon, and T loops). Further hydrogen bonds mediate the characteristic L-shaped molecular structure. tRNAs have two regions of fundamental functional importance: the anti-codon, which is responsible for specific mRNA codon recognition, and the 3' end, to which the tRNAs corresponding amino acid is attached (by aminoacyl-tRNA synthetases). tRNAs cope with the degeneracy of the genetic code in two manners: having more than one tRNA (with a specific anti-codon) for a particular amino acid; and 'wobble' base-pairing, i.e. permitting non-standard base-pairing at the 3rd anti-codon position.
Source: Rfam by way of RNAcentral